Molecule: ribosomal RNA, 212 nt
Filed under: uncultured bacterium
Lineage: Bacteria
Description: partial 16S ribosomal RNA
Rfam family: Bacterial small subunit ribosomal RNA
Source: RNAcentral
CAGUUCGGAUUGUAGUCUGCAACCCGACUACAUGAAGCUGGAAUCGCUAGUAAUCGCGGAUCAGAAUGCCGCGGUGAAUACGCUCCCGGGUCUUGUACACACCGCCCGUCACACCAUGGGAGUCGGAAAUGCCCGAAGUCUGUGACCCAACCUACGGGAGGGAGCAGCCGAAGGCAGGUCGGAUGACUGGGGUGAAGUCGUAACAAGGUAGC